AAUAUGUGGUAGGUGAGGCUACUACAGGGAUAUGGGUUGCUGCCGCAAAAUAGUGGAGACACUAUGCGUUGGUUAGCAGACUGCGUCGGUUCAAGGCGUAGUCUAAUGCAAUUUCAUGGUCAACAAACCACGCCCUGUAAAGCUAAAGCUUGGAUGACAG
Molecule: small RNA, 160 nt
Filed under: Dielma fastidiosa
Lineage: Bacteria; Bacillati; Bacillota; Erysipelotrichia; Erysipelotrichales; Erysipelotrichaceae
Also listed under: 1 other name
Description: M-box riboswitch (ykoK leader)
Rfam family: M-box riboswitch aptamer (ykoK leader)
About the family: M-box riboswitch, also know as ykoK leader is described as a metaloregulatory RNA that sense divalent metals and function as a genetic control element of genes related to divalent metal transport in bacteria. It was first reported upstream of the B.subtilis ykoK gene and genes with related functions in other bacteria.
Source: RNAcentral